This 29-nucleotide non-coding RNA is filed under the name Mus musculus (house mouse). Lineage: Eukaryota; Metazoa; Chordata; Mammalia; Rodentia; Muridae. The record is from RNAcentral.
UCCUCUAGAGGGGAAGGUACCCGGAUGUC